AUUUUCCACUUUUUUUUAUUAUUAAGUAUUUUCUAUUAUUUUACCUGUUUUAGUAUUUAGAAAUUAUUUAGUGAGUUAUUGCUAACUGAAAGGAGGGUUGGUUGAUUUUGGUGAGAUUUGGAGAGAGAGAGGAGACGGUUGGUUUGGGUUAUUUAAAGGAAAAGAAAAGAGUUAUUGUCUUAUAAAAAGCCUUGGGACUCGUGCGUAAAGAAAAAGAGAGAAAUCAAAGAAAGAAAGAGGGGAAAAGAAAAGAGAAAAAGGGAGAAAAAAAAAUUUAUUAAUCAAACCCUAGCCGCCGCACGCCGCCGCCGCGAACCCGAGCCGCCAAGCCUUCCCCUCUCUGUUCAACAGCGCAGCCGAGUCUGCAGUCCACCCGAGCCGUCGCCGAGCUUCCAGCCGCGUCGGAAGAAUCGUCCAAGUCGAUCCGCGCACGCCGAGCGUCCGCCGGAGCAGCCGUCUCUCGCAGUCGUCGCCCGAAGCCGAGCCGCGUCACCCUUCGCGAUCCGCAGCUGAUCCGUCAGCCAGCCGCGUCGCGCCGCUUCGAUCCGACGCAGCGUAGCCGAAACGUCCGUCUGCAGCCGCCGCCGAGCGAAGCCGUGGUGUAGCCGGACCACCCGCAGCCGUCGCGCCACCCGAAUCCAAAAGCCAGCGCCUCGUCGCGUGAGGACCCGACCCGGCCGAAGCCCCUCUCCGUGACCCGAAGCCCGGCCCGCGCCGCGUGCCUCCGACCCGGAACCCGAGCCGCGUGCACCCGCGUGCGAGCCGCACGUGCGUAGCCGCUGUACCAAGCUGAGCCGCGCCUGUCUGCUCCACGAGCCGCGCCAAUCUGCGCCGCGAGCCGAGCCGAUCUUCAACCUCCAAGGCGAGCCGGUCCCUGUCCUUUUUCCAGCCGAGCCGCCAAGACUAAUUUGGCUCCUUCCAUCCAAUUUGUGGGACGUCUUGGACCAAGUAACUGCUGCAGCGUGGGAUUUCUUCAGUAGGGGCUCAGCAUUGCAACCUCUUUCUAGGGUAAUUCAUUCCAACUGAGUUUUGAACCAUUAGUUGUUGGUGACUUAAUUACGAAUUUUGGCGUAUUAAACAGUUAGGACCCGUUGCUUGGAAAGCACACUUGCCUCACGGUUAGAACUCGCCAAGUAAAUCUCCAGGUAGAGGACGAGGCAAGGGCAAAGGCAAGUUGGCGAGCGACCAGAAGUGACCGUGGCGAGCCAUAGGGAUUUCUGCUUCCGCUUAUUCUUGUUUUGACUUUAGUACCCGAGUUUGAGUAUUCUUCACUAUUUACCAUUUUUUUUAUGUAGAUAGGGCCCGAG
Molecule: long non-coding RNA, 1307 nt
Organism: Cucumis melo (muskmelon)
Lineage: Eukaryota; Viridiplantae; Streptophyta; Magnoliopsida; Cucurbitales; Cucurbitaceae
Exons: 3
Source: RefSeq, a predicted model, not a curated record